AGCUUUGCGCAGUGGCAGUAUCGUAGCCAAUGAGGUUUAUCCGAGGCGCGAUCAUUGCUAAUAGAAAGUGAAUAUAUAUGUGCAUGCAUAUUUAUGUGUGGGGGUAAAGGAUAAAUAAAAUAAAGAUAUUAAGACAGCUUUUUAAAGU
This is a small nuclear RNA of Neofelis nebulosa (Clouded leopard), 148 nucleotides long. RefSeq annotates it as U4 spliceosomal RNA. NCBI's taxonomy places the organism in Eukaryota, Metazoa, Chordata, Mammalia, Carnivora, Felidae. The transcript has a single exon. The record is from RefSeq and is a predicted model, not a curated record.